Long non-coding RNA from Lycium ferocissimum, 908 nucleotides. RefSeq lists it as uncharacterized. The record is from RefSeq and is a predicted model, not a curated record. NCBI's taxonomy places the organism in Eukaryota, Viridiplantae, Streptophyta, Magnoliopsida, Solanales, Solanaceae. The transcript has 2 exons.
GGAAUUGAAAAUGUUGUACAAAAAUGCCAUGGUGGCCAUGUAAAUGGGAUUGGUCCCACACAUUGUGUGGCCAAUUUUAAUUGGUCCAACACAUUGUGUGGGCCAAGACACUUGGAGAUAUUUGUGGGACUUAAAAAGAUGACCAUAAGUCAUCUUCUUGUCAUUUAACAUUUAGAGAAAACAAGACUUUGAGAGCUCCCUUCACCCCCACUGUUUCGGCGCACCACAAGAAAAACCAAAUCAAAUUCUAGCUCUUCUAAAAAUACUUCUUUGGUAUAGACCCACUAUCUUGAAGUCCCUAAGUAGCGUGGAAGUGCUAUUUGGGUCAUCCAACCAUUAGUAGUGCCCAUUUGCAAACCCUAGCUAUUGAUAGAAGUGAAGAACAAAGACCUUGGGGAGCCCGAGGCGUAGAUUUGGAGUAGCUUUAGAUUGGCUAGCUUGGAAGUGCGUUCGAGGUAUGUAAGGCAACUUCCCUUCUUUUUGGCAUGUCUUAGUUUUUAUAGGCUAAAUUAGAGCCUUAAGGAAACUCUCAAAUCCGAAAUCCGAGCGUGUCAUGAUCCGCAUAUGUUCUGUGGUACUCUUAUGUAUGAUUUGAUGAAAUAUGAACCUUUAUGUGUUUGAAAAAUCGCUUUUCGAACUUUGCGCAAAGGGGUUUCACUUUAAGGAACUUUGAAUUAUCCGAAUGCCAUAUCUUUCACAUAAGUGCUCGGAUUGCUCCAACAUAUUUUUAUAAAAGUUUGUAUUACGUAUAACUGGUAUGUUUUCCAUAAGCGGGCCGACUUGGGUAAGUUCCCAUCUGUGGGUCCCGCGCCUUCCCUUUAUGAAAUUCGGGAGAUUUUGAAGGAAUUUGUUAAGACUAUUAUUUCGAUUUUCAAAUAUGAUCGUUUUGCUUAUGUAUGAAUUUAUGA